This 432-nucleotide ribosomal RNA is filed under the name Nematopodius debilis. RNAcentral's name for it is "eukaryotic LSU rRNA". The record is from RNAcentral. Lineage: Eukaryota; Metazoa; Arthropoda; Insecta; Hymenoptera; Ichneumonidae. RNAcentral also lists the same sequence under 1 other name.
CCUGAGAAACCCAAAAGAUCGAAUGGGGAGAUUCAUCGUCAGCGAUUUUGGUACGUGUGCGGUCUCGCGAUGCCGGUGACUUCGGUCUCCAGGCACGCGUCCGCAUGUUUUUUAUUGCCUCAAUCGUCGGCGUGCACUUCUUCCCUAGUAGGACGUCGCGACCCGUUGGGUGUCGGUCUACGGCCCGGGUGGUAGCCUGUCUCGUGUGCGCUUCGCGGCGUUACGCGGUUCAGACCCCCGGUUGCCCGACCGGCUGCCCGGCGGUACUCGCACGGUAUCUGGCCGCAAAUAUUCGAACUGCGUCCGGCCCGUCGCAAGCGAGACAAGUGUUUCCCGGUUGUACGGAUCCAAUGCCGUCACCGGGCCUUGUCGGCUGUUGGUUGACGGUGUCCUAGGACUGGCUAAUAUAAUUAUGAUACCGGUCGGCGACGU